GACAUCCAGAAGGAAGUCAUAGAGGAAACACCAGCUGAUGCAAGUGCUGCAGAAGAAUUCAAUCGAAUAUCAGGAAGAAAUGUGAGAUCCAAGUUCUGCCAACGCGGCAUUGGACACACACUGCUCGUUUGAUUGAAAUAAAAAAAAAAAACAGGAGAAAAUUGCAGAAGAAAACUAGAAGAAAUUUUCAACAUGUUAAUUCAAAGGUCAUCUGGCAGCAGUUCUCCGGGGUCUUUCAGUCCUUUAGAGGGAUGAGUCUAAAGAA
Danio rerio (zebrafish) is the source of this 265-nucleotide non-coding RNA. The record is from RefSeq and is a predicted model, not a curated record. Lineage: Eukaryota; Metazoa; Chordata; Actinopteri; Cypriniformes; Danionidae.